This 484-nucleotide ribosomal RNA is filed under the name uncultured bacterium. Its description in RNAcentral is "partial 16S ribosomal RNA". It matches the Rfam family "Bacterial small subunit ribosomal RNA", at positions 30 to 507 of the family's 1533-position model. The record is from RNAcentral.
AUUGAACGCUGGCGGCAGGCCUAACACAUGCAAGUCGAGCGGAUGAAGGGAGCUUGCUCCUGGACUCAGCGGCGGACGGGUGAGUAAUGCCUAGGAAUCUGCCUGGUAGUGGGGGAUAACGUCCGGAAACGGGCGCUAAUACCGCAUACGUCCUGAGGGAGAAAGUGGGGGAUCUUCGGGCCUCACGCUAUCAGAUGAGCCUAGGUCGGAUUAGCUAGUUGGUGGGGUAAAGGCCUACCAAGGCGACGAUCCGUAACUGGUCUGAGAGGAUGAUCAGUCACACUGGAACUGAGACACGGUCCAGACUCCUACGGGAGGCAGCAGUGGGGAAUAUUGGACAAUGGGCGAAAGCCUGAUCCAGCCAUGCCGCGUGUGUGAAGAAGGUCUUCGGAUUGUAAAGCACUUUAAGUUGGGAGGAAGGGCAGUAAGUUAAUACCUUGCUGUUUUGACGUUACCAACAGAAUAAGCACCGGCUAACUUCGUG